GUGCCAGCCGCCGCGGUAAUACAGAGGGUGCGAGCGUUGUCCGGAAUCACUGGGCGUAAAGGGCGCGUAGGUGGUUUGGUAAGUGUGUGGUGAAAGCCCGGGGCUCAACCCCGGGUCUGCCGCGCAAACUGCCGAACUAGAGCAUACUAGAGGCAGGUUGAAUUCCGGGUGUAGCGGUGGAAUGCGUAGAGAUCCGGAAGAACACCGGUGGCGAAGGCGGCCUGCUGGGGUAGAGCUGACACUGAGGCGCGACAGCGUGGGGAGCAAACAGGAUUAGAAACCCCAGUAGUCC
This 292-nucleotide ribosomal RNA is filed under the name uncultured bacterium. Its description in RNAcentral is "partial 16S ribosomal RNA". It matches the Rfam family "Bacterial small subunit ribosomal RNA", at positions 505 to 796 of the family's 1533-position model. The record is from RNAcentral.